Molecule: ribosomal RNA, 447 nt
Filed under: uncultured bacterium
Lineage: Bacteria
Description: bacterial SSU rRNA
Rfam family: Bacterial small subunit ribosomal RNA
Source: RNAcentral
AACGAACGCUGGCGGCGUGCCUAACACAUGCAAGUCGUGCGAGAAAGUUCCUUCGGGAGCGAGUAAAGCGGCGCACGGGUGAGUAACACGUAGGUAACCUGCCCCCCAGUCUGGAACAACUAGAGGAAACUCUAGCUAAUGCCGGAUGAGACCACGAUCCCUUCGGGGGUUGCGGCCAAAGAUGGCCUCUACUUGUAAGCUAUCGCUGAGGGAUGGGCCUGCGGGCCAUUAGCUUGUUGGUGAGGUAACGGCUCACCAAGGCUGUGAUGGCUAGCUGGUCUGAGAGGAUGACCAGCCACACUGGGACUGAGACACGGCCCAGACUCCUACGGGAGGCAGCAGUGAGGAAUAUUGCGCAAUGGACGAAAGUCUGACGCAGCGACGCCGCGUGGGGGAUGAAGGUCUUCGGAUUGUAAACCCUUUCGGGAGGGAAGAUGGAGUGGGUAA